This 761-nucleotide ribosomal RNA is filed under the name Pediococcus acidilactici. RNAcentral's name for it is "bacterial SSU rRNA". It matches the Rfam family "Bacterial small subunit ribosomal RNA", at positions 59 to 785 of the family's 1533-position model. The record is from RNAcentral. Lineage: Bacteria; Bacillati; Bacillota; Bacilli; Lactobacillales; Lactobacillaceae.
AAGUUUCGUUAAUUGAUUAUGACGUGCUUGCACUGAAUGAGAUUUUAACACGAAGUGAGUGGCGGACGGGUGAGUAACACGUGGGUAACCUGCCCAGAAGCAGGGGAUAACACCUGGAAACAGAUGCUAAUACCGUAUAACAGAGAAAACCGCCUGGUUUUCUUUUAAAAGAUGGCUCUGCUAUCACUUCUGGAUGGACCCGCGGCGCAUUAGCUAGUUGGUGAGGUAACGGCUCACCAAGGCGAUGAUGCGUAGCCGACCUGAGAGGGUAAUCGGCCACAUUGGGACUGAGACACGGCCCAGACUCCUACGGGAGGCAGCAGUAGGGAAUCUUCCACAAUGGACGCAAGUCUGAUGGAGCAACGCCGCGUGAGUGAAGAAGGGUUUCGGCUCGUAAAGGUCUGUUGUUAAAGAAGAACGUGGGUGAGAGUAACUGUUCACCCAGUGACGGUAUUUAACCAGAAAGCCACGGCUAACUACGUGCCAGCAGCCGCGGUAAUACGUAGGUGGCAAGCGUUAUCCGGAUUUAUUGGGCGUAAAGCGAGCGCAGGCGGUCUUUUAAGUCUAAUGUGAAAGCCUUCGGCUCAACCGAAGAAGUGCAUUGGAAACUGGGAGACUUGAGUGCAGAAGAGGACAGUGGAACUCCAUGUGUAGCGGUGAAAUGCGUAGAUAUAUGGAAGAACACCAGUGGCGAAGGCGGCUGUCUGGUCUGUAACUGACGCUGAGGGUCGAAAGCAUGGGUAGCGAACAGGAUUAGAUUC